This 1493-nucleotide ribosomal RNA is filed under the name Limosilactobacillus fermentum. Its description in RNAcentral is "bacterial SSU rRNA". It matches the Rfam family "Bacterial small subunit ribosomal RNA". The record is from RNAcentral. Lineage: Bacteria; Bacillati; Bacillota; Bacilli; Lactobacillales; Lactobacillaceae.
GGGCAACGGGCGGGGUGCCUAUACAUGCAAGUCGAACGCGGUUGGCCCAAUUGAUUGAUGGUGCUUGCACCUGAUUGAUUUUGGUCGCCAACGAGUGGCGGACGGGUGAGUAACACGUAGGUAACCUGCCCAGAAGCGGGGGACAACAUUUGGAAACAGAUGCUAAUACCGCAUAACAGCGUUGUUCGCAUGAACAACGCUUAAAAGAUGGCUUCUCGCUAUCACUUCUGGAUGGACCUGCGGUGCAUUAGCUUGUUGGUGGGGUAACGGCCUACCAAGGCGAUGAUGCAUAGCCGAGUUGAGAGACUGAUCGGCCACAAUGGGACUGAGACACGGCCCAUACUCCUACGGGAGGCAGCAGUAGGGAAUCUUCCACAAUGGGCGCAAGCCUGAUGGAGCAACACCGCGUGAGUGAAGAAGGGUUUCGGCUCGUAAAGCUCUGUUGUUAAAGAAGAACACGUAUGAGAGUAACUGUUCAUACGUUGACGGUAUUUAACCAGAAAGUCACGGCUAACUACGUGCCAGCAGCCGCGGUAAUACGUAGGUGGCAAGCGUUAUCCGGAUUUAUUGGGCGUAAAGAGAGUGCAGGCGGUUUUCUAAGUCUGAUGUGAAAGCCUUCGGCUUAACCGGAGAAGUGCAUCGGAAACUGGAUAACUUGAGUGCAGAAGAGGGUAGUGGAACUCCAUGUGUAGCGGUGGAAUGCGUAGAUAUAUGGAAGAACACCAGUGGCGAAGGCGGCUACCUGGUCUGCAACUGACGCUGAGACUCGAAAGCAUGGGUAGCGAACAGGAUUAGAUACCCUGGUAGUCCAUGCCGUAAACGAUGAGUGCUAGGUGUUGGAGGGUUUCCGCCCUUCAGUGCCGGAGCUAACGCAUUAAGCACUCCGCCUGGGGAGUACGACCGCAAGGUUGAAACUCAAAGGAAUUGACGGGGGCCCGCACAAGCGGUGGAGCAUGUGGUUUAAUUCGAAGCUACGCGAAGAACCUUACCAGGUCUUGACAUCUUGCGCCAACCCUAGAGAUAGGGCGUUUCCUUCGGGAACGCAAUGACAGGUGGUGCAUGGUCGUCGUCAGCUCGUGUCGUGAGAUGUUGGGUUAAGUCCCGCAACGAGCGCAACCCUUGUUACUAGUUGCCAGCAUUAAGUUGGGCACUCUAGUGAGACUGCCGGUGACAAACCGGAGGAAGGUGGGGACGACGUCAGAUCAUCAUGCCCCUUAUGACCUGGGCUACACACGUGCUACAAUGGACGGUACAACGAGUCGCGAACUCGCGAGGGCAAGCAAAUCUCUUAAAACCGUUCUCAGUUCGGACUGCAGGCUGCAACUCGCCUGCACGAAGUCGGAAUCGCUAGUAAUCGCGGAUCAGCAUGCCGCGGUGAAUACGUUCCCGGGCCUUGUACACACCGCCCGUCACACCAUGAGAGUUUGUAACACCCAAAGUCGGUGGGGUAACCUUUUAGGAGCCAGCCGCCUAAGGUGGAACCAGGAAUUGGU